ACACACACACACACACAAAAACACUUUAACUCACAUCCCAUGUUUAACUAGCAAAGUCUAGGCUGUUUAUGCAGUCAAUCAUUCAUCAUCAGAAAAAAGUUAGUUACUCAUAAAAGGUGAGGCCGAUCAGGAUACCAAAAAAGUUAUUAUUUCUCUACAGUAACAGUUGUGUCAUGUGUUUAAAUAAUUACACAAUUAUUUUGGCAUAAUAGGGACUGCAUUGGUUUACACAGUUAAAUAAGAAUGGAAAAAGGAAAAAUUAAAACCGAAAAACAAAAGGUUUCAUCUUCUUCCCCAG
Molecule: unclassified non-coding RNA, 298 nt
Filed under: Hevea brasiliensis (rubber tree)
Lineage: Eukaryota; Viridiplantae; Streptophyta; Magnoliopsida; Malpighiales; Euphorbiaceae
Source: RNAcentral